UUCCGGUUGAUCCUGCCGGACCGACUGCUAUCAGAGUGGGACUAAGCCAUGCGAGUCAACGCAGCAAUGCGUGGCAUACGGCUCAGUAACACGUAGAUCAACAUGCCCAGGGGACGUGGAUAACCUCGGGAAACUGAGGAUAAACCGCGAUAGGCCAAGGUUUCUGGAAUGGAUCAUGGCUGAAACCUACAUGGCCCCUGGAUUGGACUGCGGCCGAUCAGGCUGUUGGUGAGGUAAUGGCCCACCAAACCUGUAACCGGUACGGGCUCUGAGAGGAGGAGCCCGGAGAUGGGCACUGAGACAAGGGCCCAGGCCCUAUGGGGCGCAGCAGGCGCGAAACCUCUGCAAUAGGCGAAAGCUUGACAGGGUUACUCUGAGUGAUGUCCGCUAAGGGCCUCUUUUGGCACU
Molecule: ribosomal RNA, 408 nt
Filed under: uncultured archaeon
Lineage: Archaea
Description: bacterial SSU rRNA
Rfam family: Archaeal small subunit ribosomal RNA
Source: RNAcentral